This 98-nucleotide signal recognition particle RNA is filed under the name Candidatus Paenalcaligenes intestinipullorum. Its description in RNAcentral is "signal recognition particle sRNA small type". It matches the Rfam family "Bacterial small signal recognition particle RNA". Rfam says of the family: The signal recognition particle (SRP) is a universally conserved ribonucleoprotein involved in the co-translational targeting of proteins to membranes. Archaeal SRP consists of a 7S RNA and homologues of the eukaryotic SRP19 and SRP54 proteins. The record is from RNAcentral. Lineage: Bacteria; Pseudomonadati; Pseudomonadota; Betaproteobacteria; Burkholderiales; Alcaligenaceae.
GGCGGGUCCCUUCGCAUGGUUCAACAGUGAAUCUGGUCAGGUCGGGAACGAAGCAGCCACAGCUGUCUCGAGUCAGUGCCGAAGUCAGGCUCGCCACC